Non-coding RNA from Xylariaceae sp. FL1272, 107 nucleotides. NCBI's taxonomy places the organism in Eukaryota, Fungi, Ascomycota, Sordariomycetes, Xylariales, Xylariaceae. The record is from the annotation of a GenBank genome assembly.
GGGCGUUUGGCCGAGGGGUCUAAGGCGCUGUGUUUAGGUCAUUUCAUCAAUAGAUUUACUUAAUACCGCAGUGGGAAACCGCGCAGGUUCGAAUCCUGCAGCGCUCA